Molecule: ribosomal RNA, 140 nt
Filed under: uncultured eukaryote
Lineage: Eukaryota
Description: partial 18S ribosomal RNA
Rfam family: Eukaryotic small subunit ribosomal RNA
Source: RNAcentral
UGGUGGAGUGAUUUGUCUGGUUAAUUCCGAUAACGAACGAGACCUCAGCCUGCUAACUAGUUGUGCGAGUCUUCGGACCCGUCCAUAACUUCUUAGAGGGACUGUCGGUGCGUAGCCGAAGGAAGCGUGAGGCAAUAACA